Molecule: transfer RNA, 67 nt
Filed under: Thanmoia reticulipennis
Lineage: Eukaryota; Metazoa; Arthropoda; Insecta; Orthoptera; Acrididae
Description: Paratoacris reticulipennis tRNA-Phe
Source: RNAcentral
ACUUGGAUAGCUUAUAUAAUAGAGCAUAACACUGAAGAUGUUAAGGAAUUAAUUUUAGUUUCAAGUG